GAAAUUUAUAAUACCAAACUACCUACAUUACGUGGCGUAGUACAAGUGGCAAGUCUGAGUUGAUCCACAAGGAAGCGCGCUAUGUUUCGUUAGGCCAAUUCACUAGUUAUAACGGUGAACAGGGAUUGUGUGUGGCAUAGAAUUAGAUGCGGAAAAAUAAAUUGAGAAAGUAAAAUAAAGAGUAAAUGUAAUUUAGGGAUGG
Molecule: unclassified non-coding RNA, 202 nt
Filed under: Hevea brasiliensis (rubber tree)
Lineage: Eukaryota; Viridiplantae; Streptophyta; Magnoliopsida; Malpighiales; Euphorbiaceae
Source: RNAcentral